AUUGAACGCUGGCGGCAUGCCUUACACAUGCAAGUCGAACAGCAGCACGGGUGCUUGCACCUGGUGGCGAGUGGCGAACGGGUGAGUAAUAUAUCGGAACGUACCUUAUUGUGGGGGAUAACGCAGCGAAAGCUGUGCUAAUACCGCAUAAUCCCUAAGGGGGAAAGCGGGGGACCGUAAGGCCUCGCGCGAUUAGAGCGGCCGAUACCUGAUUAGCUAGUUGGUGAGGUAAAGGCUCACCAAGGCAACGAUCAGUAGCUGGUCUGAGAGGACGAUCAGCCACACUGGGACUGAGACACGGCCCAGACUCCUACGGGAGGCAGCAGUGGGGAAUUUUGGACAAUGGGGGCAACCCUGAUCCAGCAAUGCCGCGUGAGUGAAGAAGGCCUUCGGGUUGUAAAGCUCUUUUGUCAGGGAAGAAACAGCAGCUCUAACACAGUAUGCGAAUGACGGUACCUGAAGAAUAAGCACCGGCUAACUACGUGCCAGCCGCCGCGGUAA
This 501-nucleotide ribosomal RNA is filed under the name uncultured bacterium. RNAcentral's name for it is "partial 16S ribosomal RNA". It matches the Rfam family "Bacterial small subunit ribosomal RNA", at positions 30 to 523 of the family's 1533-position model. The record is from RNAcentral.